RNAcentral lists this long non-coding RNA (572 nucleotides) under Nicotiana benthamiana. RNAcentral's name for it is "long non-coding RNA (NBEN_LNC022288)". The record is from RNAcentral. Lineage: Eukaryota; Viridiplantae; Streptophyta; Magnoliopsida; Solanales; Solanaceae.
CACAAGACUCGAAAUAUAAUUCCGACCAACCCCAGAAAAUAUCACCGGAAAAUAACCCCCCACGCUCCCGCCGGGCUUCUGCCGGCGGCGGCGAGUUUAGCCCACGCGCCGGCGUGUGAGAGACUUUCCGGCCAGAAUUUCAAAAAGUUCCUUCAGGACAGUCUGAUCGCCCUCAAAUUCCGAGCCUACCCAUAUUUUUAUUUUACAAUUACACACCACCACAAGGUUCCCAAGAGAGAUCCGACCGAACCCCAGCAAAACCCACCGGAAAACUGCCCUUCACGCGCCCUCCCCCGCCAGAUUUGUCAAGGUAGAUCCGACUCACGCGCCCCACGCGCCGGCGCGUGAGAGACUUUCCGGCCAGAAUUUCAAAAAGUUCCUUCAGGACAGUCUGAUCGCCCUCAAAUUCCGAGCCUACCCAUAUUUUUACUUUUCAAUUCCGACCACUUUGUAGUUUUCCGGAAUCUACAAUGAUUUUUUCCUAUGCACCAGCUUGAGGGGGAGUGUAGAAUAUAUAAUAGUAGAACCCUAAUCCAAUGUGUAUUAGGAGUAGCCUAAUCCAAUGUUUANNN